GACUACAGGGGUAUCUAAUCCUGUUUGAUCCCCACACUUUCGUGCAUCAGCGUCAAUAAUGGCUUUGUGAGCUGCCUUCGCAAUCGAUAUUCUGUGUGAUAUCUAAGCAUUUCACCGCUACACCACACAUUCCACCCACAGCAACCAUAUUCAAGCCUGACAGUAUCAACGGCACCCUUUCAGUUAAGCUGAAAUAUUUCACCGCUGACUUAUCAAACCGCCUACGCACCCUUUAAACCCAAUAAAUCCGGAUAACGCUUGCAUCCCCCGUAUUACCGCGGCUGCUGGCACGGAGUUAGCCGAUGCUUAUUCGUAUGGUACUCUCAUCAGUCUACGCAUAGACCUUAUUGCUCCCAUACAAAAGCAGUUUACAACCCAUAGGGCCGUCUUCCUGCACGCGGCAUGGCUGGAUCAGAUUUCCAUCCAUUGUCCAAUAUUCCUCACUGCAGCCCCCCGUAGG
Molecule: ribosomal RNA, 460 nt
Filed under: uncultured Bacteroidota bacterium
Lineage: Bacteria; Pseudomonadati; Bacteroidota
Description: uncultured Bacteroidetes bacterium partial 16S ribosomal RNA
Source: RNAcentral